RNAcentral lists this long non-coding RNA (1365 nucleotides) under Homo sapiens (human). Its description in RNAcentral is "HSALNT0214110". Lineage: Eukaryota; Metazoa; Chordata; Mammalia; Primates; Hominidae. The record is from RNAcentral.
GUUAAGAAGUAUUUUAACAUAUUCAAUAACAGUUUAAUUCCUUCAGAUAUUCAUCAGUCAUGUGUUUUUUACUCUGUCCAGUUAGGGCAAUAUAAAUACCAUUUUGUGAGGAUGUCAAAUUUUUCUUUUUUCUGGCAAAACAAGAAAGCAUAAGACAGAUGGGUUAAGAAGAAAGUCAGACACAGUAUCAGUUGCCAAAGGGGGGAAAACAAGUAAAGACAACAUCUUGUCCAUCAAGGAACUCAGAUAAAGGCUCUUUCUUCUCUCAAAUGAUGACAGCUCCAGAGCUGUGAGCAACGAGAAAAUAAAUAAGCACAACCACCAAAAGUGUUUCUCCCUGGUUUCCACUGUAAUAUCUGGAAUAGACAAACAUGUCAUUUUACUGGGAAGAUUACCUGAAAAAAAGUAACCAAAAUAGAAAAGGAAGAAAGAAGAAAACUGAAUAGGGUCUAUUACAUCUGGGUAGACGGUUAUCAUGCUUUUCUAGAUGCAGCUGAUGAAAACAUCCAGGAAGAAUAAUCCACAUCCCUUUCAACAAUAUAAAGGGAUCCAAAGCACCGAUGUGUGAUUCUGACACGAGAAGCUUCAGGACAACUGACAUAGUUGCUCUCAGUUGAAAACGGACACUAGUUGGUACUCUGAGUUUAUUUUUCUCAAAUGGAAGUUUGCUCACAAGAUGUGGUAAGAUUGAGUUUGUAUGCUCUUAAAUGGCCUUUUUACAGGCAGGAAGAUCUUGUUUGUCAGGCCUCAGGAAACUGUUGAUAGAAUGAAGGAGGUUAAAAUUGUUACUGGAUCUACUAAACCUGUGAGCCAUCCAUCACCCAUUUACGACGGUAUCCCGAAUGGAAGAGAGAUGAGGGUGAGCACAUUUAAUGAGGUGUGAGCUUUGAAUGGACAGAAAAACACAAUUCUGAAGGUUUUGAGAUCAACUUCUUGAAUUAACACAAUGGAAGAUAUUUUAUUGUGGCUAUAAAUUAUCUUUUAAAAAUUCUUUACAUUACUUAGACUUUAGGAAAAGAAUAGAAAGUAGAUUCGAAAAUACUAAGAAAAUUUGCUAAUUGCCCAGGUUCUUUUCCUAAUUUUUAUAGGGUGUGUUUAAGCAUAAUAGCAUGUUGCAGUCUAUUUGGAAUAGAAUCAGGCUGAGUUUUGGUAUCAAAUAUGUUUCAAACUAGCUGGGUAUUUAGGAAAGUCACUUAAUCUUCUUAUGCCCCAGAUGUCUCAUCUGUCACAGGUGAUAAUAAUUUCUGGCAAACAUGCUUUACAUCAUUUUGUAAGUAUAGCAUAAAAUGAUAAAUGUAAAAACAUUUAAGGGAAAAGCAUUUCCCAAAGCAAAGGUGCCAUUCUUAUUAAAAAAUGAGAACGUCU